This 593-nucleotide unclassified non-coding RNA is filed under the name Entomortierella lignicola. RNAcentral describes it as "sequence contains 18S rRNA gene, ITS1, 5.8S rRNA gene, ITS2, 28S rRNA gene". The stretch from base 173 to 326 matches the Rfam family "5.8S ribosomal RNA". Lineage: Eukaryota; Fungi; Mortierellomycota; Mortierellomycetes; Mortierellales; Mortierellaceae. The record is from RNAcentral.
GAUCAUUCAUAAUAAGUGUUUUAUGGCACUUUUUAAAAAAUCCAUAUCCACCUUGUGUGCAAUGUUAAGGUCUCAUCAGUCAAGUAAUAUUUUCUGAUGGGAUUUUUUAUACAUCAACUCAUUCUUGAACUAAUUUGUCUGAAAAAUAUUAUGAAUACUUAAUUCAAAAUACAACUUUCAACAACGGAUCUCUUGGCUCUCGCAUCGAUGAAGAACGCAGCGAAAUGCGAUACGUAAUGUGAAUUGCAGAAUUCAGUGAAUCAUCGAAUCUUUGAACGCAUAUUGCGCUCUCUGGUAUUCCGGAGAGCAUGCUUGUUUGAGUAUCAGUAAACACCCUCAAAGCCUUUCUUUUUUUUUUUUAAAAAAAAAAGAUGGGUUUUGGAUUUGAGUGAUUCCAACGCAAAUCCCUUCAAGGAUUAGUGGCGGACCACUUGAAAUUCAGGUGCAGCUGGACAUUCUUCUGAGCUAAAAGCAUAUUUAUUUAGUCCUGUCAAUACUUUUGUGUUGCGGAUUAUUACUUCUGCUGCAGCUAACAUAAAGGUUGAAAGUCCAAAUGCUGACUGAUGCAGAAAUUUUUCAGUAAGGCGCAAGCU